GAGAGUUUGAUCCUGGCUCAGGAUGAACGCUAGCUACAGGCUUAACACAUGCAAGUCGAGGGGCAGCAUGGUCUUAGCUUGCUAAGGCCGAUGGUGACCGGCGCACGGGUGAGUAACGCGUAUCCAACCUGCCUUACACUCUUGGACAGCCUUCUGAAAGGGAGAUUAAUACAAGAUGUUAUCAUGAGUAAGCAUUUUCGCAUGAUUAAAGGUUUACCGGUGUAAGAUGGGGAUGCGUUCCAUUAGAUAGUAGGCGGGGUAACGGCCCACCUAGUCUUCGAUGGAUAGGGGUUCUGAGAGGAAGGUCCCCCACAUUGGAACUGAGACACGGUCCAAACUCCUACGGGAGGCAGCAGUGAGGAAUAUUGGUCAAUGGACGAGAGUCUGAACCAGCCAAGUAGCGUGAAGGAUGAAGGUUCUAUGGAUUGUAAACUUCUUUUAUACGGGAAUAAACGAAUCCACGCGUGGAUUUUUGCAUGUACCGUAUGAAUAAGGAUCGGCUAACUCCGUGCCAGCAGCCGCGGUAAUACGGAGGAUCCGAGCGUUAUCCGGAUUUAUUGGGUUUAAAGGGAGCGUAGAUGGGUUGUUAAGUCAGUUGUGAAAGUUUGCGGCUCAACCGUAAAAUUGCAAUUGAUACUGGCAGUCUUGAGUACAGUUGAGGUAGGCGGAAUUCGUGGUGUAGCGGUGAAAUGCUUAGAUAUCACGAAGAACUCCGAUUGCGAAGGCAGCUUACUAACCUGUAACUGACAUUGAUGCUCGAAAGUGUGGGUAUCAAACAGGAUUAGAUACCCUGGUAGUCCACACGGUAAACGAUGAAUACUCGCUGUAGGCGAUAUACAGUCUGCGGCCAAGCGAAAGCAUUAAGUAUUCCACCUGGGGAGUACGCCGGCAACGGUGAAACUCAAAGGAAUUGACGGGGGCCCGCACAAGCGGAGGAACAUGUGGUUUAAUUCGAUGAUACGCGAGGAACCUUACCCGGGCUUAAAUUGCAACCGAAUAUGGCGGAAACGCUAUAGCUAGCAAUAGCGGUUGUGAAGGUGCUGCAUGGUUGUCGUCAGCUCGUGCCGUGAGGUGUCGGCUUAAGUGCCAUAACGAGCGCAACCCUUGCCGAUAGUUACUAACAGGUCAUGCUGAGGACUCUGUCGGGACUGCCAUCGUAAGAUGUGAGGAAGGUGGGGAUGACGUCAAAUCAGCACGGCCCUUACGUCCGGGGCUACACACGUGUUACAAUGGGGGGUACAGAGGGCUGCUACCACGCAAGUGGAUGCCAAUCCCAAAAACCUCUCUCAGUUCGGAUUGAAGUCUGCAACCCGACUUCAUGAAGCUGGAUUCGCUAGUAAUCGCGCAUCAGCCACGGCGCGGUGAAUACGUUCCCGGGCCUUGUACACACCGCCCGUCAAGCCAUGGGAGCCGGGGGUACCUGAAGUGCGUAACCGCAAGGAGCGCCCUAGGGUAAAACUGGUGACUGGGGCUAAGUCGUAACAAGGUAGCCG
RNAcentral lists this ribosomal RNA (1493 nucleotides) under uncultured bacterium. RNAcentral's name for it is "bacterial SSU rRNA". It matches the Rfam family "Bacterial small subunit ribosomal RNA". The record is from RNAcentral.